AAUUGACUUCUAGGACACUCAUCUAACAUGGCUUAGUCAUUUCAAAUACAAGACAGCUUUUGAUCAGCUUAGUUAUUGAAGACAAAAGAUGAUCUUUGAUCGACUUAGUCAUUGAAAAUAUAAGACGGUCUUUGAUUGACUUAGUCAUGACAAACAUAAAAUAAUAUUUGAUCAGCUUAGUCAUUGCAAACAUAAGAUGGUCUUUGAUCAACUUAGUCGUCGAAAAUAUAAGACUGCCUA
RNAcentral lists this long non-coding RNA (240 nucleotides) under Elaeis guineensis (African oil palm). RNAcentral describes it as "long non-coding RNA (EGUI_LNC042423)". The record is from RNAcentral. Lineage: Eukaryota; Viridiplantae; Streptophyta; Magnoliopsida; Arecales; Arecaceae.